AUGUGCCGCGGUGCAAUCCUCGCCGAGCUCAUACCGAGCGCGCCGCCCAGGAGCGUCACGGCGGUCCACCUCUUGCCCAAGCGGCAGAGGGUGGACGACUUCGAGGCUGCUUUCAAGCGCUUCGACGAGGACUCUGAGGAGGAGGAGGAGGGCGUCCGGUUCUGGCUCGGCACCUUCCCCUCCGCCGACGACGCCGCGCACGCCUACGACGACGCCGCCCGCGACUUCCGCGGCGCCAACGCCAGGCUCAACUUCCCCUCCUCGCCCACAACAAGCGCACCCAAGUGCCGUGUAGCCGCGAAACCGACACCGUUCGUUGUUAUUGACCUCGACGACGACGAAGAGGGUGAUGCUGGAGCAGCGCAUGCCGGCGGGAUGAGCUCCGAAUCCAGCGGCGCCCUGCCGGACUUCUCAUGGCAGGGCAUGUCCGCGUCCGGCGAGGUCAUGGCGCAAUCUGUCCAUGCUGAAGUGGAGUCCAGCCACUCUGUCGUCGACCUGGGCAGCGCCAAGAAGCGGCCCCGGAUCGAAGCCGACGCGGUUCUGCCGGCAGCGGCCGACGACUCCGCCGACCAACUGUUAGAUCCUUUCGUGUUCGAUGACCAAUUCGGCUUCUUGGACAGCAGCUCGUACGAGUGGCUGGAUGGCCUGUUCGGCGCCGAUGCUGAGAAGAUCGACGACAGCCAGCUGGGGCUCUGGAGCUUUGGCGACCAUGACUGUCUCGCCGAGGACAGCGCGCGCGUGCAAGUAGAGUAG
This 753-nucleotide ribosomal RNA is filed under the name Triticum aestivum (bread wheat). RNAcentral describes it as "partial small subunit ribosomal RNA". Lineage: Eukaryota; Viridiplantae; Streptophyta; Magnoliopsida; Poales; Poaceae. The record is from RNAcentral.